Rhinolophus ferrumequinum (greater horseshoe bat) is the source of this 132-nucleotide small nucleolar RNA. Ensembl annotates it as small nucleolar RNA, H/ACA box 80B. Its record names the gene SNORA80B. The record is from Ensembl. NCBI's taxonomy places the organism in Eukaryota, Metazoa, Chordata, Mammalia, Chiroptera, Rhinolophidae.
GCAUGGGUUUGGAUUUAUGGCAGGUCCGUCUCCCUGGGCCUCUCAUAGUGCCCCAUGCCAGAGCAAACUGGCCCUGAACCAUUGCCUCGCCUCUGCCUGUAGGCUGCAGGCACUGAAAUGGGUUGCACAGUG